Molecule: ribosomal RNA, 449 nt
Filed under: uncultured bacterium
Lineage: Bacteria
Description: partial 16S ribosomal RNA
Rfam family: Bacterial small subunit ribosomal RNA
Source: RNAcentral
AACGAACGCUGGCGGCAUGCCUAAUACAUGCAAGUCGAACGAUCACUUCGGUGGUAGUGGCGCACGGGUGCGUAACGCGUGGGAAUCUGCCCUUGGGUUCGGAAUAACGUCGGGAAACUGACGCUAAUACCGGAUGAUGACGUAAGUCCAAAGAUUUAUCGCCCAGGGAUGAGCCCGCGUAGGAUUAGAUAGUUGGUGGGGUAAGGGCCUACCAAGGCGACGAUCCUUAGCUGGUCUGAGAGGAUGAUUAGCCACACUGGGACUGAGACACGGCCCAGACUCCUACGGGAGGCAGCAGUAGGGAAUAUUGGACAAUGGGGGCAACCCUGAUCCAGCAAUGCCGCGUGAGUGAUGAAGGCCUUAGGGUUGUAAAGCUCUUUUACCCGGGAUGAUAAUGACAGUACCGGGAGAAUAAGCCCCGGCUAACUCCGUGCCAGCCGCCGCGGUAA